Molecule: ribosomal RNA, 227 nt
Filed under: uncultured bacterium
Lineage: Bacteria
Description: partial 16S ribosomal RNA
Rfam family: Bacterial small subunit ribosomal RNA
Source: RNAcentral
GAACACGUGAGGAACCUGCCCCAAACUUUGGGAUAACAGUUGGAAACGACUGCUAAUACCAGAUGCCGUUACUUUGUCGCAUGGCGAGGUAACGAAAGUUUUUCGGUUUGGGAGGGCCUCGCGGCCUAUCAGCUUGUUGGUGAGGUAAUGGCUCACCAAGGCAACGACGGGUAGCUGGUCUGAGAGGAUGAUCAGCCACACUGGGACUGAGACACGGCCCAGACUCC